AGUCAGCAAUGUUGACUCUCUGGUCACUGAUCUCAUUCUGCAUGUUAUGGGGUCAAAGUGUUGGAGACACCAUCACACCAGAGAAGGAUGCUGAACAAGCCGCUGAGGGCAGUAAAGUGAAGCUCUCCUGCAGAUACAGCAGCUCUCGAGUUUACAGUCUGUUAUGGUACCGCCAGUAUCCUGGAUCAGCUCCCCAGUUCCUCAUACUGGAAAACUCAGGAGUCGUAAAUAAUCCCAUACCAGGACUGAGCAUCCAACACGUCAAAGAGCAGAGUCGUGUGGAUCUGGAGAUCUCCUCAGCUGAAGUGACAGAUUCUGCUCUGUACUUCCUCUUCUUCCACUUGGGCACAGGUUCAGGAGCAAGAAAAGCUGAUCCAAACUCUGGACUUUAUAUUAAAGUGAAUGAAGAGAAAACCCAAAUGGAUCUGGAGAUCUCCUCUGCUGCAGUGACACACUCUGCUCUGUACUAC
This is a non-coding RNA of Myripristis murdjan (pinecone soldierfish), 470 nucleotides long. The record is from the annotation of a RefSeq genome assembly. Lineage: Eukaryota; Metazoa; Chordata; Actinopteri; Holocentriformes; Holocentridae.